AUGUGAUACCGGUUACGUUGGUGUACGAUGCAAUACUAAAAUUCAGGCAGUUUCCACACCUGCUCAGUAAUUGCCAACCGAAGGCAGCAACGAUGAAAAACGAACAGGAACAACAGGAACAAUGGGUAUUGCUGUUGGUGCUGCAAUUGGAGUUGUAGUGAUAGUAGCAGUAAUCAUCAUUCUACUUGUAGUACGAAGGAGGAAACUAUUGAGGGGUCGAGCAAAUUUUGAUAAUCCAAUUUAUACUAAUAAAGCUAAUGAGGCGAGAUUGACUGUCAGGGAAAACCAGUGGUAGCUUUGUGAACAAAUCAGUUGCUACAAUAUAAGUUGAGGAUGAGCUUUCAUUGUUAGCAAAUUCACAGCCAUUGCUUAUUAUUAAAAUAAUGAAUAGAUGUAGAGUGUGUAACUACAGCUAGACAACUUUGCAGUGUUGAGUUAUACUGGUAGUAAUGUUAUGGGUACAUGUCACAGGUAACAAUGACCAAGAAACC
Molecule: long non-coding RNA, 491 nt
Organism: Corticium candelabrum
Lineage: Eukaryota; Metazoa; Porifera; Homoscleromorpha; Homosclerophorida; Plakinidae
Exons: 3
Source: RefSeq, a predicted model, not a curated record